This 2904-nucleotide ribosomal RNA is filed under the name Escherichia coli. RNAcentral describes it as "23S ribosomal RNA". It matches the Rfam family "Bacterial large subunit ribosomal RNA". The record is from RNAcentral. RNAcentral also lists the same sequence under 1 other name. Lineage: Bacteria; Pseudomonadati; Pseudomonadota; Gammaproteobacteria; Enterobacterales; Enterobacteriaceae.
GGUUAAGCGACUAAGCGUACACGGUGGAUGCCCUGGCAGUCAGAGGCGAUGAAGGACGUGCUAAUCUGCGAUAAGCGUCGGUAAGGUGAUAUGAACCGUUAUAACCGGCGAUUUCCGAAUGGGGAAACCCAGUGUGAUUCGUCACACUAUCAUUAACUGAAUCCAUAGGUUAAUGAGGCGAACCGGGGGAACUGAAACAUCUAAGUACCCCGAGGAAAAGAAAUCAACCGAGAUUCCCCCAGUAGCGGCGAGCGAACGGGGAGCAGCCCAGAGCCUGAAUCAGUGUGUGUGUUAGUGGAAGCGUCUGGAAAGGCGCGCGAUACAGGGUGACAGCCCCGUACACAAAAAUGCACAUGCUGUGAGCUCGAUGAGUAGGGCGGGACACGUGGUAUCCUGUCUGAAUAUGGGGGGACCAUCCUCCAAGGCUAAAUACUCCUGACUGACCGAUAGUGAACCAGUACCGUGAGGGAAAGGCGAAAAGAACCCCGGCGAGGGGAGUGAAAAAGAACCUGAAACCGUGUACGUACAAGCAGUGGGAGCACGCUUAGGCGUGUGACUGCGUACCUUUUGUAUAAUGGGUCAGCGACUUAUAUUCUGUAGCAAGGUUAACCGAAUAGGGGAGCCGAAGGGAAACCGAGUCUUAACUGGGCGUUAAGUUGCAGGGUAUAGACCCGAAACCCGGUGAUCUAGCCAUGGGCAGGUUGAAGGUUGGGUAACACUAACUGGAGGACCGAACCGACUAAUGUUGAAAAAUUAGCGGAUGACUUGUGGCUGGGGGUGAAAGGCCAAUCAAACCGGGAGAUAGCUGGUUCUCCCCGAAAGCUAUUUAGGUAGCGCCUCGUGAAUUCAUCUCCGGGGGUAGAGCACUGUUUCGGCAAGGGGGUCAUCCCGACUUACCAACCCGAUGCAAACUGCGAAUACCGGAGAAUGUUAUCACGGGAGACACACGGCGGGUGCUAACGUCCGUCGUGAAGAGGGAAACAACCCAGACCGCCAGCUAAGGUCCCAAAGUCAUGGUUAAGUGGGAAACGAUGUGGGAAGGCCCAGACAGCCAGGAUGUUGGCUUAGAAGCAGCCAUCAUUUAAAGAAAGCGUAAUAGCUCACUGGUCGAGUCGGCCUGCGCGGAAGAUGUAACGGGGCUAAACCAUGCACCGAAGCUGCGGCAGCGACGCUUAUGCGUUGUUGGGUAGGGGAGCGUUCUGUAAGCCUGUGAAGGUGUACUGUGAGGUAUGCUGGAGGUAUCAGAAGUGCGAAUGCUGACAUAAGUAACGAUAAAGCGGGUGAAAAGCCCGCUCGCCGGAAGACCAAGGGUUCCUGUCCAACGUUAAUCGGGGCAGGGUGAGUCGACCCCUAAGGCGAGGCCGAAAGGCGUAGUCGAUGGGAAACAGGUUAAUAUUCCUGUACUUGGUGUUACUGCGAAGGGGGGACGGAGAAGGCUAUGUUGGCCGGGCGACGGUUGUCCCGGUUUAAGCGUGUAGGCUGGUUUUCCAGGCAAAUCCGGAAAAUCAAGGCUGAGGCGUGAUGACGAGGCACUACGGUGCUGAAGCAACAAAUGCCCUGCUUCCAGGAAAAGCCUCUAAGCAUCAGGUAACAUCAAAUCGUACCCCAAACCGACACAGGUGGUCAGGUAGAGAAUACCAAGGCGCUUGAGAGAACUCGGGUGAAGGAACUAGGCAAAAUGGUGCCGUAACUUCGGGAGAAGGCACGCUGAUAUGUAGGUGAAGUCCCUCGCGGAUGGAGCUGAAAUCAGUCGAAGAUACCAGCUGGCUGCAACUGUUUAUUAAAAACACAGCACUGUGCAAACACGAAAGUGGACGUAUACGGUGUGACGCCUGCCCGGUGCCGGAAGGUUAAUUGAUGGGGUUAGCGCAAGCGAAGCUCUUGAUCGAAGCCCCGGUAAACGGCGGCCGUAACUAUAACGGUCCUAAGGUAGCGAAAUUCCUUGUCGGGUAAGUUCCGACCUGCACGAAUGGCGUAAUGAUGGCCAGGCUGUCUCCACCCGAGACUCAGUGAAAUUGAACUCGCUGUGAAGAUGCAGUGUACCCGCGGCAAGACGGAAAGACCCCGUGAACCUUUACUAUAGCUUGACACUGAACAUUGAGCCUUGAUGUGUAGGAUAGGUGGGAGGCUUUGAAGUGUGGACGCCAGUCUGCAUGGAGCCGACCUUGAAAUACCACCCUUUAAUGUUUGAUGUUCUAACGUUGACCCGUAAUCCGGGUUGCGGACAGUGUCUGGUGGGUAGUUUGACUGGGGCGGUCUCCUCCUAAAGAGUAACGGAGGAGCACGAAGGUUGGCUAAUCCUGGUCGGACAUCAGGAGGUUAGUGCAAUGGCAUAAGCCAGCUUGACUGCGAGCGUGACGGCGCGAGCAGGUGCGAAAGCAGGUCAUAGUGAUCCGGUGGUUCUGAAUGGAAGGGCCAUCGCUCAACGGAUAAAAGGUACUCCGGGGAUAACAGGCUGAUACCGCCCAAGAGUUCAUAUCGACGGCGGUGUUUGGCACCUCGAUGUCGGCUCAUCACAUCCUGGGGCUGAAGUAGGUCCCAAGGGUAUGGCUGUUCGCCAUUUAAAGUGGUACGCGAGCUGGGUUUAGAACGUCGUGAGACAGUUCGGUCCCUAUCUGCCGUGGGCGCUGGAGAACUGAGGGGGGCUGCUCCUAGUACGAGAGGACCGGAGUGGACGCAUCACUGGUGUUCGGGUUGUCAUGCCAAUGGCACUGCCCGGUAGCUAAAUGCGGAAGAGAUAAGUGCUGAAAGCAUCUAAGCACGAAACUUGCCCCGAGAUGAGUUCUCCCUGACUCCUUGAGAGUCCUGAAGGAACGUUGAAGACGACGACGUUGAUAGGCCGGGUGUGUAAGCGCAGCGAUGCGUUGAGCUAACCGGUACUAAUGAACCGUGAGGCUUAACCUU